CCUACGGGUGGCAGCAGUCGAGGAUCUUCGGCAAUGGGCGCAAGCCUGACCGAGCGACGCGGCGUGUGGGAUGAAGGCCCUCGGGUUGUAAACCACUGUCAGAGGGGAUGAAGUGCCAUGGGGUUCUCUUCAUGGUUUGACAUAUCCUCAGAGGAAGGACGGGCUAAGUUCGUGCCAGCAGCCGCGGUAAGACGAACCGUCCAAACGUUAUUCGGAAUCACUGGGCUUGACGGGUGCAUAAGCUGCGCGAGAAAGCCCUCGGCUUAACCGAGGAAUUGCGCUCAAAACUGCCGUGCUUGAGGGAGAUAGAGGUGAGCGGAACUUAGGGUGGAGCGGUGAAAUGCGUUGAUAUCCUAAGGAACACCUGGGGCGAAAGCGGCUCACUGGAUCUUUUCUGACGCUGAUGCACGAAAGCUAGGGUAGCGAACGGGAUUAGAUACCCCAGUAGUC
RNAcentral lists this ribosomal RNA (450 nucleotides) under uncultured bacterium. Its description in RNAcentral is "partial 16S ribosomal RNA". It matches the Rfam family "Bacterial small subunit ribosomal RNA", at positions 338 to 795 of the family's 1533-position model. The record is from RNAcentral.